Molecule: RNA transcript, 2444 nt
Organism: Lineus longissimus
Lineage: Eukaryota; Metazoa; Nemertea; Pilidiophora; Heteronemertea; Lineidae
Gene name: tumor necrosis factor receptor superfamily member 16-like
Exons: 6
Source: RefSeq, a predicted model, not a curated record
UGCGGGCGUUGUCUGACAGUUACCAUGAUAUCUUCUUUAUAUGCUGGUCUCGGUUCAUAUAAAGCGAGCAGCCAGAGGUUGUGGCUUUCUUGGUCACAUAAAGCCAUUCGCGAUAUUACAGAAAUGACAGUUUAAUAUACCUACGUGUAGUCAGAUGAGCCGAAACCGUUUGAUCGAGACUGUUCUGCAAAUUGACUAAUCGGAAUUCUUUAUUUGAGGAAAUCUCUCUCAUGUUAUGUUAGGAUUUGUCGCCUGCUCAAUAUACGCUCUCACAUAACGCAGGGCAGUGCAGGAGUAAUCAUGUACUCGUCCCUUGGUGAUGAACAAAUGAUGGUUAUCCAAUCCUUAAACUUUUCGGACCAGACAACUUUCGAAAAUCUGGCGUUAUCCGGGAACUUUACAGAACCAACAACAGAAACAUGGCUGACUGCCACCAUCAGUGCGUUCAUCGUUGCCUUGGGGUUUUUCGCGAGGUAUUCUUGGAUGGUGACCGGUAUAAUAGGAAUUCCCGGGAACAUCUUAACACUUAUUAUCUCCCUUCAAAAGAAGAAUCGGACCAUCUCGACUUGUUGUUACAUGGCGGCGGUGGCGGUGGGAGACACCUUAAUGCUGCUGCAGAUGAUGUGGGUGCACUCCGUCAUCUAUUGGUGGGGCGGAGAAGGCAAGCCGUCACAACUGAUGCUACAAUUCGGCUGGUUCCAAGGUUCGACUUCCGCCAUGUUUUCCAGCUUCGCGCUUGCGCAGAUGUCAAUCGACCGCCUGAUCGUGGUGCAGUUCCCUAUGUCUGCCACAAGGCUAUGCACACAGGAACGCGCCAACAAAACCGUGGUGACAACCUUCGUCUUAUGUUGUAUCUUCAACCUGCAAAUGUUUUUCGUCUAUAGGUAUCGGAGAGAAGUCAUGGAAAACCCAUACGUCAUGAGUAGGCCAGGCCUAUGAAUCACACGACAUAGCUUAAAGCAUGGACUGACUCACGUGGCAGAAACAGAAACUAGUGAUCUGCCAACGGACUUUCUCAGCGCUUUCACAAACGGGGAAUCCCGGUUGACAAUACCAUUUAUGACAUACUCUAGCUAUUCCUGAUUCAUAAGUCGCAAUACCGGGAAGUUGGUAUAUUUUCUCCGGAGCCAAGUUGAAGGAUGGCGGUAUUUUUCAUAAAACAUGUGCUGAUCUUGCAUUUAGUGAUCAUUUCCGAUAUUUUCAUGCAGGUUUCUUCGACAGAGGUAAGGGUAAGACAGCAAAGUGGAAAAUGUGAAUCAGAAUAGAAGAAGAGUUGGCUCUCCAAUACAUUAUGUACUCGUUCUCCUACGUACGGAUUCUCCUAUUACCAAAAAGGGGCGUACACCGGGUAGUAUACUCUUUUCGUUCGCGACUUGACAAUAGGAAAAGGGGUAACGGGAUAUAACAGCACAUAUUGGGAAAUAAACCUUCGAUCAGCUCAAAUCUACACUUGUCCCAAGGGAGCAUAUCUAGACAUGACAAAAAACAGGACUGCGUGUCGUGCGUGCACGGUCUGUCCGGCCGGAUACGGCGUGGGGGUACCAUGCUCCCUGACCACCGACACUGUGUGCGAACCCUGCGCGGAAGGCACUUAUAACCCCAGGAAAACUCUCAACGAGAGGUGUCGCCGGUGUCGAAGAUGUUCUUACCCUUAUGUCAGUGUGCGGAAAUGUCAGCCAAACAGGGAUGCAAGUUGUAACUGGUGUGCAAAAGCCGAGGAAGAAAGGCAACGAAAAGCGAUUAACACUACUGAAACAUCGGAGGUUACAUCAACACUGGCGGCCAUCUUGGAUACCCAAACACUUCAAAGUCUCGAAAUCCACACGUCAGAGGAAGGACUCACGUUAGAGAUGAUUGUCGUGAUUAUUGUAAUGAUUAUGAUGCUGAUGGCAGUGAUAUUUUUGAUCGCAUUCUGUAUCUUAAGAGACAGUCACAGGGACGUUUUGCGGGUGUUACGGGUAAAAAAAAGACGAAAUUACGCCACACGCACCCCUGUUUCUACUUUUGACGGUGUUCAGAGUAAAGGGAUGUGCUUUGGGAAACAGCCUCGUUUUGUGGCUGAUGAACAAGCAGGGGGUAUACGUACAUGUGUGGUCGACCUUCCUGAAAAGGUUUCGCUGAAAUAAGACCACACCCAGCAUAUUCUAAAUGCUGGCACACACGUGCUAUCAGAGCGGACACAAUCGUCGCAGCAACUAAAACUUUCUUUAGUACCAAUCUCAUAACAAAGCAACGUUGUAUCACUUCGAUGAUCCAUCCCGGCAUCGUAUACAAUUGGUUAGAUUACAACAUCCACUCCCACCUUGGCUUCCUCGGCUAAAAUCGGAAAUCGUGAGGUCUGAAUCUCAGAGGUGGUGAUGGUAUGCGUGCGUGUGCGUGUGGGGGUGCGUGUGUGUGUGUGCGUGAGAAAGUGAGGGGGUUGAGGGGGGGGGGGUGGGGUCUGG